GACGAACGCUGGCGGCAUGCCUAACACAUGCAAGUCGAACGAGACCUUCGGGUCUAGUUUCGCACGGGUGCGUAACGCGGGGGAACCUGCCCUUAGGUUCGGAAUAACUCCCCGAAAGGGGUGCUAAUACCGGAUUAUGUCUUCGGACCAAAGAUUUAUCGGCUUGGGAUGGGUCCGCGUUGGAUUAGAUAGUUGGUAGGGUAAAAGACUACCAAGGCGACGAUCCAUAGCUGGUCUGAGAGGAUGAUCAGCCACACUGGGACUGAGACACGGACGAGACUCCUAAGGAAGGAAGCAGUGGGGAAUAUUGAACAAUGGGCGAAAGCCUGAUCCAGUAAUGCCGCGUGAGUGAUGAAUGCCUUAGGGUUGUGAAGCUCUUUUACCCGGGAUGAUAAUGACAGUACCGGGAGAAUAAGCUCCGGCUAACUCCGUG
This 433-nucleotide ribosomal RNA is filed under the name uncultured bacterium. Its description in RNAcentral is "partial 16S ribosomal RNA". It matches the Rfam family "Bacterial small subunit ribosomal RNA", at positions 28 to 507 of the family's 1533-position model. The record is from RNAcentral.